UCUUCUCCCAAAUAAUUGCCCCGAACCAAGUUGACCCCAUUCCCCAUUUAUUCCGCCCUGUUGCUGCUCAGAGCUGUGCUCGCCGCCCCAUCUAUCUCCCCCAGCCAGUAUCCUACCAUGCGUCUCUACAACCUCUGUUCCAUCUGUCCGGUACGCCGUACGCGUCAGCGGCCGCGCGGCGACGGCCGCACAACCUGCCAUCCGGCAACCUCACAAACCUAAGGUCGUGCUCAUCUCCACCACGACCAGGCCCUCUGCUCGACAUGCAAUCAUGUACUGCAGUCCACCUCAUCGGAACUCCGUCUCUUUUCGGGUAUGAAGCCAUCACCACUGGACUACUGCAGGACUGGCCCACCCAUCCGCAUAUGGCCUAGGGUUAGAGUCAUCUCUCUUGAUACAUGGUUCAAUUCAUGCAUUGCAUGUUAAUUUGGCAUA
RNAcentral lists this long non-coding RNA (435 nucleotides) under Hordeum vulgare. RNAcentral describes it as "long non-coding RNA (HVUL_LNC019468)". Lineage: Eukaryota; Viridiplantae; Streptophyta; Magnoliopsida; Poales; Poaceae. The record is from RNAcentral.